This is a non-coding RNA of Salvia hispanica, 2712 nucleotides long. Lineage: Eukaryota; Viridiplantae; Streptophyta; Magnoliopsida; Lamiales; Lamiaceae. The record is from RefSeq and is a predicted model, not a curated record.
UUUCACCUGCCGAUUAAGGAAGAUGAGCAGAAGGGCUGCUGUAUCUUCAAUCGAUCUCAUUCAUGGAAAAAGAUUUCUCAAUCGAUGGUCUCAUAAAUCGGGUAUUGUCUCUCCUCCAUUCUCUCUCUUCUCUUCCAAGGCUUUUCAACCUAAGCGGCGCCCAAUAGAUUUCAGAAGUGUUAAAGAAUUAGAUGAUGCUAUUAAAUUGUUUGGGGAAAUGAAGAGUAUGCGGCCUGAGCCUUCUAUUCGAGUGUACAACAAUCUUAUGAGUGUUAGUGUAAAGAUUGAGCAGUAUUCAUUUGCCCUCAAGGUGUUCGAUGAAAUGCUUCAAAUGGGUUUCCCUGUUGAUAUGUACACUAUGAGUAUUGCAAUUAACUGUUGCUGUCACUUGAAAGAUAUAAACUCUGGUUUUGCUAUAAUGGCCUUCUUUUUUAAGAGUGGUUUCGAACCAAAUGCUGUGAUAAUCAGCCAUCUCAUUAAAGGGUUGUUUUUAGAGGGUAAGGAGGCAGAAGCUGUGAAAUUAUUCCAAAAGGUUCUGGAUUUAAAAGUUUGCGAACCUAAUUGUGUUAUGAUUCUGCACUUGAUAGAUGGGUUAUGCAAAACUGGACAGGUCAUUGAGGCUUAUGAUUGGAUUCAUAGAUUAGAAAGUUGUGGGUGGAGACCCAACGUUUGGGCUUAUAGCACAUUAAUUGAUGGGUUUUGUAAGGGUAGAAAGAUGGAUGACGCAUUGCAACUUCUACCUAAGAUGGUCAGCAAAGGUAUUUUACCCAAUGUUGUCACAUAUAAUACCAUGAUUAAGGGACUGUGUGACAAUGGUAGGCAUGCCGAUGUUGGAGACUUAUUGAAUGAAAUGGCCAAUUCAAAGAUAUCUUUGGAUGUGCAUACUUUCAAUAUAUUGAUCGAUGCAUAUUGUAAGGAAGGGAAGAUGGAAGAGGCUACAAAUGUACUGAAAAUUAUGGCGCAACAAAACAUUUGUCCCAAUGUGGUCACGUAUGGUACACUUAUUGAUGGAUUUUGUAUGAAAGGUGAAAUAGAUAGAGCAAAACGGUUACUUGAUUUAAUGGUAGAGAUGGGCUUAAAGCCUAAUAUUGUUAGCUAUAGCAGCUUGUUAAAUGGAUAUUGCAAGAAGGGAUGCGUGGAUGAAGCUUGGCUUCUUUUUCUUGAAAUUCCUAGUAAAGGUUUGGUGCAUAAUACGCAUACUUAUACCACCAUGAUACAUGGAUUAUUUAGUAAAUAUAGAUUUGCCGAGGGCUAUAAACUAUUCGAGGUUAUGGAAGACCAACAAAUGCGUCCUGAUUUGCUAACUUACACUACAUUGUUGGACGGGCUGUUUAGGAAUAAGGAGAUUAAUGAGGCUGUUUCAUUGUUGCGCCUGAUUGAAGAUAAAGGAUUUACCCUUGACGCAGUCACGUAUGGUGCUCUAAUAAAUGGAUUGUGCAAAAAUGGAAAACAUGGCAUUGCGAGACAUCUUUUCAGUCAACUUCCUUCAAAUGGUGUACAACCUAAUGUUCAUAUAUAUAAUAUGAUCAUUGGUUCAUAUUUUCAGGAAGGGUCUUUGGAGGAGGUAAAACGUUUGCUGGUAGAGAUGGAGGAUCGCGGCUGUGGACCUAAUCGUGUAACAUACAAUGUUAUCAUCGGGAGUCUGCUAAAGCAAAAUGAGGUUGACAAGGCAAGAUCAUUUAUGGAAGAAAUGCGUGAAAAGGGAUUCUCUGCGGAUUCUGCAACUUCUUCGAUGCCAAGUGGAGAUGAUUUUUUACUCAAAUUGAUGAAGGACCUUGAGCCCAAGGAAAUUGUAUGCUAGUCCAUAUUAAGUGGAGGCAUCGCUGUUUCUAGUGCAGGGCGAGGAUUGAUGCAGCCUAAGCGCCAAAGGUUUAUGUCUCGAAGCUUCAAGCUGUGUUCGAUCUUUACACACCUAUGAUGGAUUGUGACAAUCUGAAGUUGAUUGGGAAUCCAUGUGGUGGAGAGCUGUGUUAUAGGGUGUGGAGAGCUGAUGGACCCUACAAUUGAGUAUCUCUUAUUGGUAGAAUUAAGGAGCCUAAAGAAUCUACCAAUGCAAAUUGACUGCCCCACCAAAUCAUCUACUCGUCUCACAGAAUUGAGAAUCUUAGCAGCUUGAUAACAUUAGAGAUAGAUGCGAGUGUAGAAUGGUCACGAGAGGAUAGUGUUGGCAUUGCAGAGACCGUGGAAGGGAUGCUGCAACUAACUUAAAUGGUUUGAAGUAAAAGGGGAACCUCUCCUCUCUAACAGAGUUAUGUCUAUAUAGUUGAAGCGUCUACCCUUUGUGGAUGCACUGAAGCACCUCACUGAAUUAAAAUACUUAGAUAUUAGAGAUUGCCCGGAACUACGUAUUGAUUCUGAAAAUCAAGGUCGAUUGCCAAACAGCUUGAAUGUUGUUGCAAGCCUUCAUCGUGUUUCCCUCUUCCAUGGAAGAAUCGAGAUCCUCCUGCUCUGGAGACGUGUUUGGCUUCUGUUCAGAUGGGUCCAACAUUUGUGUUGCCGAACUGGAGCUCCCCCAAGCUGCCUGAUGGAGAAUACAACGACGAUCUGGUGAACCUGUCGCCACGAUCAUCGUGCUGAAACUGGACUCAUCGGAUCCUUAGCCCUUCUAUCUACUGCAAAACAAUAACAAAUUGGAGAGAUAAGCAUGCGUGUAGACGUGAAUCCUAUUUAGGUUGGCGUGUAGAAAUCAAGGUCUAUGGCCAGCCCGUGUCA